This 670-nucleotide long non-coding RNA is filed under the name Brachypodium distachyon (stiff brome). Its description in RNAcentral is "long non-coding RNA (BDIS_LNC003822)". The record is from RNAcentral. Lineage: Eukaryota; Viridiplantae; Streptophyta; Magnoliopsida; Poales; Poaceae.
UUAAAAGUUUUGAGUUGAGUUUAUCAUUAUAAGAAAAUUUAUGCAUAUAUAAGGUAAUCAAACUUCAAAAUCACCAUCUUUAAUGAUCAUAUAUACACGAGGGCGAGGAUUGAUUAAGCUUGGGGAUGUUGAUACGUUAAAAGCGUAUUUGUUCCCUUUGAAGUUAUCAUCCAUGUUUUUAUUUCUUUUUACCAUUUUUUAAUUAGUUAUUGGUUUUAUAUGCAGUUAACAGCCGCCAGACGGUUCCUUCCUUUCUUCGUUAUGUUAUUUUAGGUAAUUUUACAUGUGAGGAAUAAUCCUAGAAAGUUAGGAUGUCAAUAUUUUGGGGUCCUGAAGCAUUACACAUAAUACGGAGUUCAACCGAGUUAGGUGGGACCUAUGAGGGCAGGGCAGGCGCCCCUGACAUUAGAAGGAGGUGAGAAACAACAAAGAGCAAAACAAGUAUAAAUUCUAUUCUGCCACAGGGAAGGUGGAAAUUAAGGGGAAGGCACCGCUAGAAUCACCUCCGGAGCCUUCAUCUGCCUCCCCUCAUCAUUUCGCUACAACUCCAAUGAGUAGGGAUUAUUUCUCCUCUGAACCUCGGGUCCGUGGUAGUAUUAUGUAUCAGAUUAAUCUCUCUACGUUAAAACCAGCUAGGGGCAGAUUAGUUCACCUUCCUUCAUAAUCUUCA